GGGCAAGCAGUUCUCUCCGUCUCUCUUUAUGCUCGGGUGAUGGUGAUGGUGAUGGUGAUGGUGUUUCCAUAUAAGUUGGUAUAAUAAUAAUAAUUGUCGGUGCCUGCUCCAUCUCCUCUUUCAGAUUCUAAUUCCAUCGGUACAUUUCCCUUACUUAACUUUAUGGUUUUUAAUUAAUUGUUCUCAAUGCUGUUAUGUCUUUACCUGUUACGAUUUUUGUUUAAAUUUGUCAUGAUUAGAUUUCUGGAGCUUUUUUUUUUUUUUUUUUCUGACGGGGCAAUUGUAGAUCAACGGUGAAAUCUGUUCGUAGAAUUAUUUUUUUCUUUGCUAGAUCUCUGUGGAUUUUUCCAUUUAUAUUGCUGAUAUCACCGUAAUUACUUGCUUUGAAGUUGUUAAGUUUGUUUCUCCUCUGUUAAUUCCUCGUUGCCUUUUUUUUUUUGCUAUAUGUUGUUUCUUUUUUUGUGGAAAUUGAGUAAUUUCUCUCUUUUUUGGAUGAAUUAUUAUUUCUACUGUGUUUGUUGUUCUUGUUGUUUCUCUUAUUCACAAAAAGAAGGUGUUGAGUAGCCGCAAGCCAAAUAUUUCUAUUGCAAUAAAAGAAUAGAGGACAAUGUUAUCAUGGAUUGGCCCAUUUACUUUUAUUUUAUUUAAUUGAGCUAGCCCAAGCUUUACUUUUAGGGUAGUUGUUUACAUCUAUAUAUAGUUGUAUCUCUGCAUUUGGAAGAGAGGGAUGAAUAUUGAAAGCUUUGGUGCAAAACCGAAUUCCCCCCCUUCUCUUUGCUUCUCUGUUCUCCUUCUUUCAAUCUAAAUUCUAUGUUGUCUUCUCUUUUUAUCAUCAUUUUCCCCACCCUAAUUUUUAUUUUUCUUCUUUGAAUUGGUUAUCAAUUAGCUGGAUUCUGCUGGUGCAAGUUCCAGCUAAGUUUUGGUUGAAGUUGAGCUCCAACCAUAACAAAUGGUAUCAUAGCAGGCAAAUUUAACUGGGCAUUUACUAGUAAUGGAUACAAGGGCCAAAGUUGUUGAUGAAGAUUGGAAGAAACGGGAUUUGGAGAUAAGGGAUUUAGGCACAUCCUUUAGAGCUCUUACCAGCUGAUUGGAGAAUAAAUUGGAGUCCACAAAAUAAAAUCUCCAGGUACUUGUUCAUCGGCAAGAGAUAUUUGAGGGUGCUCUGUUGGAAUUGAAUCAAAAAUUUGAAAAUUUAGUGACCAUGAUGACCCAAUGUCUUCAAAUCUUAAAAUGGAUCAGAAAAAUAAAGGAAUAGAGGUGCCUAAUGUUAAUUUCAGUUCUGGGAGUGUGAUAACUACACAAUGGGCUAGUAGUAGCGAGAAUCAUGUUCGUCCUAUAGGGGAAUUCAAGGGAAAUAGUAGAUUCCCUAGAAUAGAUUUUUCCCAAUUUGGGGGAGAACGGCCCAGGGAAUGGUUGAGGGAAGCUAUGGAAUAUUUUCAACUCCAUCAAAUUCCUGAUCAACUUAGAUUGGGAGUUGCAAAGAUGUACUUGAAGGAGAAGGCAGACAUAUGGUUUUAUGGAUUCAUUUCCAGUCAUCCUGGGGUCAGAAACUAUUGAAGAAGAAUCCCAAAAUUAUGAUGGUUCAAGAAUUUUGUUGGAUGAUCAUGAAAAUGAGAUAGAAGAAUUGGUUCUAGUGGCUGAUAUAAGAGUGGGAACAGUGGCUGUGAGGGAGGCAUCAGAGGCAUUAAAUGCUAAAACCGAGAGAGACAGAGAUUGAGCUAGAGAUAGGUGAGAGAGAGAAGUUUGAAAAUGAGGAAGUAGAGCGGGUUGAGCCAAUGGAAUUUCAAAUGGUGGAAAGCAAUACAAAAGUAUCUAACUCUGAUGUUAUAGACUGCAAAGAGAAAGGGGGGAAUUAGGUUUUGCUCCAAAGCUUUCAAUAUUCAUCCCUUUCUUCCAAAUGUAGAGAUACAACUAUAUAUAGACCUAAACAACCCUAAAAGUAAGUGGCUUGGGCCAUUUACUUUUAUUUUAUUCAAUUGGGCUUGUGUUAUUAGUGGGCUAGCCCAAGCCCUUUAAUUUUAGGGUUUUUAGGUCUAUAUAUAGUUAGGGAUGAAUAUUGAAAGAUUUGGUGCAAAACCGAAUUCCCCCCUUUCUCUUUGCUUCGCUGUUCUUCUUCUUCUUUCAAUCUGAAUUUUAUGUUGUCUUCUCUAUUUAUCAUCAUUUUCCCCACCCCAAUUUCUAGUUUUCUUCUUUGAAUUGGUUAUCAAUCAGCUGGCUUCAGCUGAUGCAUGUUCCAGAGAGUAAUUUAGCUAAGUUUUGGUUGAAGUUGAGCUCCAACCAUAACAAAUGUAUGGCGAAUAUUGUCUUCAUCAUUGAACACCAUAUAAUCACUGGAAUAAUAGAAAAUUUUGGCAAUAGUAAAAUUACACACAACUAGGUGGGUUCUUUUUAUAUCUUAAAAAGCUCCACUCCACAUUCA
Molecule: long non-coding RNA, 2419 nt
Filed under: Olea europaea subsp. europaea
Lineage: Eukaryota; Viridiplantae; Streptophyta; Magnoliopsida; Lamiales; Oleaceae
Source: RNAcentral